RNAcentral lists this transfer RNA (69 nucleotides) under Desmodillus auricularis (Cape short-eared gerbil). Its description in RNAcentral is "tRNA-Ala". It matches the Rfam family "tRNA". Rfam says of the family: Transfer RNA (tRNA) molecules are approximately 80 nucleotides in length. Their secondary structure includes four short double-helical elements and three loops (D, anti-codon, and T loops). Further hydrogen bonds mediate the characteristic L-shaped molecular structure. tRNAs have two regions of fundamental functional importance: the anti-codon, which is responsible for specific mRNA codon recognition, and the 3' end, to which the tRNAs corresponding amino acid is attached (by aminoacyl-tRNA synthetases). tRNAs cope with the degeneracy of the genetic code in two manners: having more than one tRNA (with a specific anti-codon) for a particular amino acid; and 'wobble' base-pairing, i.e. permitting non-standard base-pairing at the 3rd anti-codon position. The record is from RNAcentral. Lineage: Eukaryota; Metazoa; Chordata; Mammalia; Rodentia; Muridae.
GAGGGUUUAGCUUAAUUAAAGUGAUUGGUUUGCAUUCAAUGGAUGUAAGGAAAAAUCUUACAGCCCUUA